GCGCAACCCUUAUCCUUGUUUGCCAGCACUUCGGGUGGGAACUCCAGGGAGACUGCCGGUGAUAAACCGGAGGAAGGUGGGGACGACGUCAAGUCAUCAUGGCCCUUACGAGUAGGGCUACACACGUGCUACAAUGGCAUAUACAGAGGGCAGCAAGACCGCGAGGUGGAGCGAAUCCCAGAAAGUAUGUCGUAGUCCGGAUCGGAGUCUGCAACUCGACUCCGUGAAGUCGGAAUCGCUAGUAAUCGUGGAUCAGAAUGCCACGGUGAAUACGUUCCCGGGCCUUGUACACACCGCCCGUCACACCAUGGGAGUGGGCUGCACCAGAAGUAGAUAGCCUAACCUUCGGGAGGGCGUUUACCACGGUGUGGUUCAUGACUGGGGUGAAGUCGUAACAAGGUAGCCCUAGGGGAACCUGGGGCUGGAUCACCUCCUUACAAAAAAG
This 445-nucleotide ribosomal RNA is filed under the name Photobacterium damselae. Its description in RNAcentral is "bacterial SSU rRNA". It matches the Rfam family "Bacterial small subunit ribosomal RNA", at positions 1096 to 1533 of the family's 1533-position model. Lineage: Bacteria; Pseudomonadati; Pseudomonadota; Gammaproteobacteria; Vibrionales; Vibrionaceae. The record is from RNAcentral.